Molecule: ribosomal RNA, 465 nt
Filed under: uncultured bacterium
Lineage: Bacteria
Description: partial 16S ribosomal RNA
Rfam family: Bacterial small subunit ribosomal RNA
Source: RNAcentral
CUACGGGCCGCAGCAGUGAGGAAUUUUGCGCAAUGGGGGAAACCCUGACGCAGCAACGCCGCGUGAGUGAAGAAGGCUUUCGGGUCGUAAAGCUCUGUCAGAUAGGAAAAAAGUUCAUAUGUAAAUAGCUUAUGAAUCUGAUGGUACUAUCAGAGGAAGCACCGGCUAACUCCGUGGCCAGCAGCCGCGGUAAUACGGAGGGUGCAAGCGUUGUUCGGAAUUACUGGGCGUAAAGGGCGUGUAGGCGGUAUGGUAAGUCAGAUGUGAAAGCCCUGGGCUUAACUCAGGAAGUGCAUUUGAUACUGCCAUCCUUGAGUAUGGGAGAGGAGAGUAGAAUUCCCAGUGUAGAGGUGAAAUUCGUAGAUAUUGGGAGGAAUACCCGUGGCGAAGGCGACUCUCUGGACCAAUACUGACGCUGAGACGCGAAAGCGUGGGGAGCAAACAGGAUUAGAUACCCGCGUAGUC